AGAGUACAUAAGCAUUGGAGACUGUACAAGCUAUCCCCAAGGGAUACAUCCGUCUCAGACACAGGAGUGGCUGAGAUUCCUGCUCUGUACAAUCCCACAGAGAGUGUUUCUCCUGCAGUGGCUGUACACCAGUCCCCAGAUGCAGGAUGCGCUCUGCAGUUACCUGUUUUCAGGAACUACAAAGCACUGAAGACCAGCUACCACCACUACCAUGUGGUCGUAUGGGGUGGAAGUGGCUUGUAAUACCGUUAUGAAUACUGAGACAUCACCGCUCUAGAAGUGAUAUUUGGCCACCACUUGCUAGCAAGAGUAAAGAGGCAGACAUUGAGUGGAGACAAGAACAGCCAAUGUCUGGAAAUCGCUGUCGGAGACUUCUGAUGGAGAAAACUGGCCAUAAAUGACAGAGAAAUCUGAAGAAGGGUUGCAUGCAAUGAGGUUAUCCUUCAGCUGUGAUAUGUGGCAUGCUUGAAC
This 471-nucleotide long non-coding RNA is filed under the name Anas platyrhynchos platyrhynchos (common mallard). RNAcentral's name for it is "lncRNA (ENSAPLG00000022819.1)". Lineage: Eukaryota; Metazoa; Chordata; Aves; Anseriformes; Anatidae. The record is from RNAcentral.